GACGAACGCUGGCGGCGUGCUUAACACAUGCAAGUCGAACGAAGAGCGAUGGAAGCUUGCUUCUCUCAAUCUUAGUGGCGAACGGGUGAGUAACGCGUAAUCAACCUGCCCUUCAGAGGGGGACAACAGUUGGAAACGACUGCUAAUACCGCAUACGAUCUAAUCUCGGCAUCGAGGAUAGAUGAAAGGUGGCCUCUACAUGUAAGCUAUCACUGAAGGAGGGGAUUGCGUCUGAUUAGCUAGUUGGAUGGGUAACGGCCCACCAAGGCGAUGAUCGGUAGCCGGUCUGAGAGGAGGGACGGCCACAUUGGGACUGAGACACGGCCCAGACUCCUACGGGAGGCAGCAGUGGGGAAUCUUCCGCAAUGGACGAAAGGCUGACGGAGCAACGCCGCGUGAGUGAUGACGGCCGUCGGGUUGUAAAGCUCUGUUAAUCGGGACGAAAGGCCUUCUUGCGAAUAGUGAGAAGGAUUGACGGUACCGGAAUAGAAAGCCACGGCUAACUACGUG
RNAcentral lists this ribosomal RNA (510 nucleotides) under uncultured bacterium. RNAcentral's name for it is "partial 16S ribosomal RNA". It matches the Rfam family "Bacterial small subunit ribosomal RNA", at positions 28 to 507 of the family's 1533-position model. The record is from RNAcentral.